This is a non-coding RNA of Trichobilharzia regenti, 119 nucleotides long. NCBI's taxonomy places the organism in Eukaryota, Metazoa, Platyhelminthes, Trematoda, Strigeidida, Schistosomatidae. The record is from Rfam.
GAACUCUGGUGUCUCCUCAUUUGCGGAUAGAUCUUUCGCCUUUUACUAAAGAUUUCCGUGGGGAGGCACAAUACAAUGAGUCUUGCCUCAUUUUUUUCAGCUCUGUCUUCGGACGGAGU